Molecule: long non-coding RNA, 939 nt
Filed under: Brassica rapa (field mustard)
Lineage: Eukaryota; Viridiplantae; Streptophyta; Magnoliopsida; Brassicales; Brassicaceae
Description: long non-coding RNA (BRAP_LNC002679)
Source: RNAcentral
CUCAAUAUAUUAUUAUUGACCAUGCUUUAAAAUCAGUGUGGAAAAAUCCCACUCCAUUAUCGUUGGUUAGCCUAAAAUCAGAAAAGGCCCCCUUAAACUUGGUUUAAUGAUACGAUUAAAUCAGCUUUCCUACCUUCAAUUAAUAAAUAUUACAGCAUACAUCGUAAUGUAUGACUUUUUUUUUUUUUUUUUUUUUUGAAACACUCGUAAUGUAUGACCUAAAAUACAUAAUAUAAUUGUGGAUGGGUCUUUAUUCCUGGGCCAUAAUAUGUGCAUUACAUGCUUUCUUGUCUUUGUCUGUUGGUAGUACUAACUAAAGUCGAGGAGGCCGUCAAUCCCAAAAAUGAAAAAAAAGAACACACACACAUUAACAUACUAUUGGUUCAGUCUUGGCUGAAUAUCACUUGCGAAAAUCAUUAAAGAAUGAUCCACAGACUAUAGUUAAAUAUUCUUGACAUUUUGUUUGUGUAAUUGUGUUUAAUCUUGUAGUUUUUUUUUUAUCUUGUAGUUGCGUGCUAAUAUUUGUCUUAGGGAUUAUGUAACAAACUUUUAACGGAUUCUUUAAACUUAAGACUCCUCUUAACAAUAAGCUUACACACUCAUUCGAAAGUUCUUACUCAUUUCAUUAACUUUUUUUUUUUUUUGACAAAGGUCAUUUCAUUAACUUUAUGGGUUGGUAACAAAGUUUAACUGUAUGAUCACUCUCUUUAGGUCAACAUUUGUUUCCCUAAUACUGUUGCAUGGAUUUCUACUUCUACAUGAUACAUAAUAUUAUAUAUACUAGACACUCAAAUUCAAAACAUGGAUAAAUUUAUCGAUCGUAUUAAUUAGUUAUAAGUCGAAAACUUAUAAACAAACAUAUAACAACCAUGUGAAGAAUGUAAAGAGAUCAUUUAACCCAUUUUUCUAAAAGCUGUUAGUUAACUACUGACUAUUUCU